This 339-nucleotide long non-coding RNA is filed under the name Androctonus crassicauda. Lineage: Eukaryota; Metazoa; Arthropoda; Arachnida; Scorpiones; Buthidae. The record is from RNAcentral.
CCGCAAAGAUCCAUAAAGCUCGUAGGCCCGCGCUACCGUGACUCAUUUUUUCUUUAACGCAUAGAUCCAUGGAAUGGGCGGCUCCCACGCUAGCUUAUUAUUAACAAGUUUCUCGGUUUCCGAUCUUUUUAAAAUCUCUAAAGUUUCCGGUAUAGUUGGGUGCUCUUGCUUUUUUAACGGCCUAACACAAUCAACUUCAUUCCAUUUGAUGGUGACAUUGCCUUCGUACGCUCGACAUGCUAAGGCUGUACUUAGGUUAGCUUCCCUGAUAUCUCUCCUGUGCUCGUCCAUGCGUCUCUCUAUGGUCCUCGUCGUAACACCUAUGUACGCUAACUCCUC